RNAcentral lists this long non-coding RNA (905 nucleotides) under Homo sapiens (human). Its description in RNAcentral is "HSALNT0086581". Lineage: Eukaryota; Metazoa; Chordata; Mammalia; Primates; Hominidae. The record is from RNAcentral.
UUAUGGUAAAAGUUGAAGGGGAAAUAGGAAGAAGUAUAAAAAUGGCUCUGGAGAUUACCAUUCCCUGGUGCCCACAUCCUGUAUUAUGCCCUCUGAUAUGGUUUGAAUCUGUGUCCCUGCACAAAUCUCAUUCAAAUGAUAAUUCCCAAUGUUGGAUGUGGGGCCUGGUGGGAGGUGACUGUGUCAUGGGGGCAGUUUCUCAUGGUUUAACACAUUCCCCCUUGGUGCUGUAUAGUGAUAGUGAGUUCUCAUGAGAUCUGUUAUUCAAAAGUGUGUAGCUUCCCCCCACUCUCUCUCUUGCUCCUGCUCUCACCAUGUGAAAUGCCUUGCUCCCCUUUGCCUUCUGCAAAGUGACUGUAAGUUUCCUGAGGCAUCCCCAGAAGCUAAGAAGAUGCCAGAAUCAUGCUUUCUGUACAGUCUGCAGAACCAUGAGCAAAUUAAACCUCUUUUCUUUAUAAAUUACCCAGUCUCAGGUAUUUCUUUAUAGCAAUGCAAAAACAGACUAAUACAGAAAAUUGGUACCAAGGAAUAGGGCAUUACAACUGAAAUGUGGAAGCAACUUUGAGCCUGGGUAACAGUCAGAGGUUGAAAAAGUGUGGAGGGCUCAGAAAUAGGAAGAUGGGGGAAAAUUUGGGAUUUGAUAUGGUUUGGCUCUGUAUCCCCACUUAAAUCUCAUUUUGAUUUGUAAUCCCCACAUUUCAAGAGAGGACCUGUAAUCCCCAUGUGUCAAGGGAAGGAGGUGAUAGGAUCAUGGGGGUUGUUUCCCCCAUGCUGUUUUCAUGAUAGUGAGUGAGGUCUCAUGAGAUCUGAUAAUUUUAUAAGCAUAUGGGAUUUCCUUUGCUUGCACUUCUCCCUCCUGCCACCAUGUGAAAAAAAUUCUUGUUUCUCCUUCACCUUCUGCCAUG